This 878-nucleotide ribosomal RNA is filed under the name Subtercola sp. LT5CD. RNAcentral describes it as "bacterial SSU rRNA". It matches the Rfam family "Bacterial small subunit ribosomal RNA", at positions 49 to 936 of the family's 1533-position model. The record is from RNAcentral. Lineage: Bacteria; Bacillati; Actinomycetota; Actinomycetes; Micrococcales; Microbacteriaceae.
CUACCAUGCAGUCGAACGAUGAUCCGGAGCUUGCUUUGGUGAUUAGUGGCGAACGGGUGANUAACACGUGAGUAACCUGCCCUUGACUCUGGGAUAAGCACUGGAAACGGUGUCUAAUGCCGGAUAUGACCUUUGACGGCAUCGUCUAUUGGUGGAAAGAAUUUUGGUCAAGGAUGGACUCGCGGCCUAUCAGGUUGUUGGUGAGGUAAUGGCUCACCAAGCCUACGACGGGUAGCCGGCCUGAGAGGGUGACCGGCCACACUGGGACUGAGACACGGCCCAGACUCCUACGGGAGGCAGCAGUGGGGAAUAUUGCACAAUGGGCGAAAGCCUGAUGCAGCAACGCCGCGUGAGGGAUGACGGCCUUCGGGUUGUAAACCUCUUUUAGUAAGGAAGAAGAACUUCGGUUUGACGGUACUUGCAGAAAAAGCACCGGCUAACUACGUGCCAGCAGCCGCGGUAAUACGUAGGGUGCAAGCGUUGUCCGGAAUUAUUGGGCGUAAAGAGCUCGUAGGCGGUUUGUCGCGUCUGCUGUGAAAACUGGAGGCUCAACCUCCAGCCUGCAGUGGGUACGGGCAGACUAGAGUGCGGUAGGGGAGAUUGGAAUUCCUGGUGUAGCGGUGGAAUGCGCAGAUAUCAGGAGGAACACCGAUGGCGAAGGCAGAUCUCUGGGCCGUAACUGACGCUGAGGAGCGAAAGCAUGGGGAGCGAACAGGAUUAGAUACCCUGGUAGUCCAUGCCGUAAACGUUGGGAACUAGAUGUAGGGGCCAUUCCACGGUUUCUGUGUCGCAGCUAACGCAUUAAGUUCCCCGCCUGGGGAGUACGGCCGCAAGGCUAAAACUCAAAGGAAUUGACNGGGGCCCGCACAAGCGGCGGA